RNAcentral lists this non-coding RNA (24 nucleotides) under Arabidopsis thaliana (thale cress). Lineage: Eukaryota; Viridiplantae; Streptophyta; Magnoliopsida; Brassicales; Brassicaceae. The record is from RNAcentral.
UCAAUGCCCUUUUGCAACUCUACC